GCUAGAGGGAGGGGAUACAGUGUUACAACCAUGGCACGCUGUUGAAUCAAACAACACAAACCUAAAAUCACCCAUUUCCAUUGUCAACCCUAUUUUCAUCGUCAACCUUCAACCUUCACUCAACACCCAUUUCCAUUUAUUUUUCAAUUCACAAAGAAACACACGCAAGGACCGAACCAUGUCCAUCUCCAUUCUUCUCCAUAACACCUGCAUCACAAAACCGUAUCAACAUCACCUUCCCCUUAAUUCUUCCCCAACGAAGCAAAAAUGAAAAAAAUCACACCAAAACAAAGUAUCGAAUGACCUUGUUCCUCAUCUGAUCUCGAAUUCAUUCCACCCUUCCCUUGGAUCACGCCUUCCAAGCAGUAGCAGCAGUAGCGUUCCCCAGAAUCGCUCCUCUCUCAGUUUAGUCUUGAAGCGGUUGGCGCAGGGGAGGUUUUGAAAAGGGGUGUCUACUACGCCACAGCUGGUGGCGACUCCGAUGAGCGUGGCGUCGCCGGCGACGCCGAAACAGUAAGAGAGGGUGGCGUGAUGGCUGAGCUCGAAAGGGUGGCAGGCGGUGUUCAGUUGGAGGCAAACCCAAACCUAGGAUGGAGCCGGCGGUGGCUCCGGUGGGGCACCGUGACGCUGGCGACGCUAAGGCCGGCUGAAGGCGGUGGCGCGGUGGUCGUCGGAUGGAGGCGGUGGUGUGCGAGCCCCAACCCCGAGUUGUGCGAGAGAGAGCUGCGAGACGUGUCUACUGUUGGGUUUGAAAGCGCAAAAUGAGGGGAGAGGCUUGACCCCAUUCUAGGUCAGGAGAAGGCAUUCCAAAGAAAUUCAAAAAUAUUAUUUCAAAAAUCCUAAUUCAAUGCCAUGUAGGACUCUAUGUAAGCUAAUAAAUGACACUUCAGAAUGGCUCCGUUAUCAAUUUAAACGGUGUUAGUGAAAAGGACAAAAUUAAACUUUAAUUACGUUUUUUAUGACCAAAUUGAACACAAAAAAAUGAUGGGGACCAUUUCGAAUUUUUCCAACUAAAACUGGGACCAAAAAGAACUUUUAACCAACACAUUAAUAUACAAUUUGAUGUAUUUGAUAUAUCUAAAAUAAGAGGUGAACCGGUUGGAUCAUAUACGUAUAUUUAC
This 1121-nucleotide long non-coding RNA is filed under the name Vigna radiata. RNAcentral describes it as "long non-coding RNA (VRAD_LNC009935)". Lineage: Eukaryota; Viridiplantae; Streptophyta; Magnoliopsida; Fabales; Fabaceae. The record is from RNAcentral.